CUAUAAUCGAUGAUUUAUAAUGGAGAAGUAUAACCAAGAUGAAAAAGGCAAAUAAAUCCUGGUUGGCACAUUAUUUACAUAAACAAAAAUGCCAAACUGUGAUCUGCGGACCAAAUCAAGCCUCUGCUUGACAUUCCAGAGUGCGCUUUAAUUGAAAUCUGUAAGACUGGUCCCAGAUGAGCUUAGGAAAAUGCUGAGGAGCACUCGGCUUCAUCCAGGACUCAGAAGCAGGCUGUGUCAAGGCGUGGUGAAGACGUGAUCGACUGCUGUCCAGCCUCUCUGCCUGACCCUGGAACAUCUGGAACCCUGCAACCUGACCAAGCGCUGCUGCUCACUCAGUCAUCAGAAAUGGUUCAACAGCCCCCACCCCGAUGCUGUCCCUUCGCAUUCUUCUUGCUGUGGAUAUGGUGGGGCUGAAAGAGGAAACAGACAGAACAGGCUCCAUCGUGAAACCAGAACUUCAUCUUGGGCCGGACUGUGGACUUUGAGCUAUAUGCCCAGUAUCUAUGGAAACGACAUAACUGGAAAACUAGACCCCCCGGAUGGAAGAGCCCCAGGGCUCACACCUAGACUCUCUGUUGCCUAAAAGAAUACCCUAAUUAUCUGUGUAACCAAAUAAAAUCAUAAAUUCUAUUAUGCUUAUUGGGGUAUGACCACAGGCCUAUUCAUAAUUGUCCACUGUUAACAGUCAGACACGACUGAGCAACUUCCCUUUCACUUUUCACUUUCAUGCAUUGGAGAAGGAAAUGGCAACCCACUCCAGUGUUCUUGCUUGGAGAAUCCCAGGGACGGCAGAGCCUGGUGGGCUGCCAUCUAUGGGUUCGCACAGACUCGGACACGACUAAAGCGACUUAGCAGCAGCAGCAGCAGCAGCAGCAGCAGCUACCUAGGCUUAAGGCAUACGAGUCAUGGGUUAACUUUGAUUGUAUCUUUCUUUUCCUUUGUUCAGACUAGUUUCAGGGAAUUUGGGGAGGUGGGUUUGUGUAUGUACGCUUAGAGUAUGUAAGGUUUUCGCAAAAACUCGUCGGGAUCCUUGGCUAAGAGGAGACUCUGCCUUGGGCCCGCCGGUGUAAUAAACUGCACUCCACUAUCUGCAUUGUCCUUCUGAGUGAGUUUGUUUCCCGGAAUGCUUGGCUACAACAGUGC
RNAcentral lists this long non-coding RNA (1146 nucleotides) under Capra hircus (goat). RNAcentral's name for it is "lncRNA (ENSCHIG00000000728.1)". Lineage: Eukaryota; Metazoa; Chordata; Mammalia; Artiodactyla; Bovidae. The record is from RNAcentral.